GAUGAAGAACGUAGCGAAAUGCGAUAAGUAAUGUGAAUUGCAGAAUUCAGUGAAUCAUCGAAUCUUUGAACGCACAUUGCGCCCCCUGGUAUUCCGGGGGGCAUGCCUGUCCGAGCGUCAUUACAACCCUCAAGCUCAGCUUGGUAUUGGGCCCCGCCGACCCGGCGGGCCCUAAAGUCAGUGGCGGUGCCGUCCGGCUCCGAGCGUAGUAAUUCUUCUCGCUCUGGAGGUCCGGUCGUGUGCUCGCCAGCAACCCCCAAUUUUUUUCAGGUUGACCUCGGAUCAGGUGGGGAUACCCGCUGAACUUAAGCAUAUCAAUAAGCGGAGGA
RNAcentral lists this unclassified non-coding RNA (329 nucleotides) under soil metagenome. RNAcentral describes it as "partial contains 5.8S ribosomal RNA, internal transcribed spacer 2, and large subunit ribosomal RNA". The stretch from base 1 to 120 matches the Rfam family "5.8S ribosomal RNA", at positions 35 to 154 of the family's 154-position model. The record is from RNAcentral.